UCUAAUUGCAGGGCAGUGGGUCCUAGUCAGAUUGUGUGAGCUUAGAGGCUCCUUAAAGAUAAAGAGAGAAAACAGGAGCUGGGGCCGGGGAGGUCACCUGUCAUUAAAUCACCUGUCAGUCAUGCUGUCACAAGCAUAAGGACCUGGGUUUGGGUCCUCAAUGGCUACAUAAAAAGCCAACCUGAUAGUCUAACUGUUACCCUGAGGUUCAGGGUGGAGAGACAAGUGAACCAUGGAGUUCAUUGGCCAGUCAACCUACCCAACCAAUGAGCCCCAGGCUCAGUAAGCGACCCGACAUCUCACAGUGACCUCUGACCUCCAUGUGCAAUAGUGACCCAAAUGUCAACCAGGGCUCUGAGACACUUUAUUCCAGAGCUGGACCAUUUUCACCUCAGAACAUAACCAAGCUGUUAAUGCUGUCCUUGUGUUCUUGGAAAAGAUAAUUAAUAAUAGAAGUGAUGAUGGUAAUGAUGGUCGUGAUAACAAUAGUAAGAGGGCACAAUUUAAUACCUCAGGGAAUUAGAAAUUUGGCUGUGUACCCUCAGAUCAGGCUGACCUUCAGGAAAGCAUUCUAAACUGGAACUGGGCUAUGGUUUUGCAAUAGACACUUAAACUAUAUUCUUAUGUACAGAAAAUAUUGUUUCCAAGAAUUGCUGCUAAGUACACUGAGGCUAGACUUACUUUGUUUAUCUAUUACUAUUACUUAAGCAGGUGAGUGUGGACUGUCUGCUGAAGUUUUCCCUUCUGCUGAGUACUCAGGAGAAAAUGGCAAAUGUGGUCGCCUCAGUGCCACAGAGAAAAACCACGUGGUAUAAAAGAGGGUGCUGGUGCCACGGAGACAGAUAAGAGAAGUACACAGUCAAGGUUAGAAAGGAGAGAGGCGGCAAGGUGACCAGGGUUCAUGGCUUUUCUGGUAAUUCUUAAAGACAUGAUACAUUUUUGAUUUACUGUUUUUAAAGGAUCAGUGGCAAAUAAGAUCUUUAAAGUUGACCUCCACUAGUUGUGGUUUGGCAAGAAUUUCUUGCCUAAUUUCUCCAGAAGUCAAGGCACUGACUUGGGUGGCAAGGUAGCAGUUCUGCAGUCACAGGCAAGCUAAGUUUUUAACUUUGUGUUAAGGGUUGGGCCCAGUGUAUCUUGACAAAUAUUUAAAGCUUGCCAAGUUAGUUUCCUCCAAGUACCACAUAGAGGAAAAGGGAGUGCCUGCUAGAUAGUUUUAUGAAUGGUGGAAGUAAAGUAAAUACUAGCCUCGGAUUAUUAUCUUCACAUUUACAUGGUAAACAGUUGAAAAAAAAAACCACCGUAGUUUAGCAACAACAAUCUAAGAUUAAGGCUAAAUGCCUUAGAAGGUUUUACAAAUAACAGUAUAUUUUUGUUUUAACACAGAUUUUUUUAUUCAUUAAUUUUUAGUAAGCAUAAAAAAUAAUGAGAUUUGCUUUUUGUUUUUUUUUUUUCCUCUCAACAUAGGGUUUCUCUGUGUAGCCCUGUCUUGGAACUCAGCCUGUAGAUCAGGCUGGCUUGAAUUGGGAGAUCUGCUUGCCUUUGCCUCACAAGUGCAAGGAUCAAAGGGUGUGCGUCACCACCGCUGGCAACAGUGAGCCUUUUUUUUUUUUAAAUUUAUUUAUUUAUCAUAUAUGAGUACACUUUAUCUAUCCUCAGACACACCAGUAGAGGGCUUCAGAUCUCAUUACAGAUGGUCGUGAGCCACCAUGUGGUUGCUGGGAUUUGAACUCAGGACCUUUGGAAGAGCAGUCAGUGCUCUUAACCACUGAGCCAUCUCUCCAGCCCAACAGUGAGCCUUUUAUGAGUUUUUUUUUCUGUGUAGGUGUGUGCACGUAUUUGUGCAUGUGGUGUACAUAGGUGUGCAUUGCUCAAGGAGGUCAGAGGUUAACCUCAGCCAUUGCACUUUAAGAGUCACCCAACCUACUUUUGGAGAUAGAGUCUUUCAUACGUAAGUUUCAAGAUAAAUAACAACAGAGGUUAGGUAGCUUGAAGGGACCAGUGGGGAAGGGAGGACCUUCGGGGGGGGGGGAAGAGUGUCGUGUUAUAAAGAGAUAACAGGGGAAGAGCACAUGGAAAAGAGGAUGAGAGGGCAGAGAAAGGAGAGAAUAUGGAGACAGAAAACUCACAUUAACGAACUUUUAAAAAUCCAGAUACACACCUAAUACCACAGAAGCUUUCUAAAAUAUAUGUGCAUAUGAAAGGAAUUUAAAUGGAGUCACCAUAGAAUGUAGGGGACAAUGCCCCAACAAGACAUCUUCUGCUACCUCUUAAAACCUCCUGUGCCAAGAAUGGCUUGGGUUAAAUCUUGGUGAGCUGUUGGUCAAAGGGGUCCCAUAUGCUGCCCCCCUCCCCCCAACAUCACAAACUGCUGCUUAAGGCAAUUGGUUACUCUCCACAACCUGAUGGUAAAGGCCAGACCACGGAAGAUACAGCUUCUCUAUGUCACUGAACAUAAGACAAUAGCUGGUGCCCAACUGAAAGUUUCGCCCCUACUGACAAGUGCUGAUAGUUCUGAAAGGGACUUUGCAGUCUACUGGAGGAGAAAAGUAAUUAUCAAGUUUCGCCCAGUGAUCUCCCUGCCUGCGUGACACACCUGUGCAAAAGUGGCAGAGAUGUUACCGGAAUAACCAACCACUUUUACAAAACUGGAUUCAGGAGAUGGAGCCCGUACCUGACACUGAAGUGGCCAAGAACCUUGGACUAGAGAGGUCAUGGGCCUAGGGGAAAACCAUUUUUCUGUUACAGGAACAGACCAAGAAAAUGAUUAUUCGGGACAUAUGGCUGUCCGCAUAGAGCAGAGUGUCGCUUAACCCUCAUUAGAGAAGGCUCUUCUUAUAGUAGAUGGGAAUUAACAAAGAGAUUCACAACAGGACAAGGUGCGGGGGGCAGGGGGGAGAGUUUGAAGCACUCGGCCCUAAGUGGGCAGUAUUUAUCAAUGCUAAUUGGCUCUGAGUUUAUUGUGUGGACAUUUUGUAGAGUGAGAAUUUACUGAUAUAAAUCUGAUCGAUAAAUUAUGAGCUUAUUGAGUUUUGAUUUUAACGGGGUACUGGGAGUUGUGACUAUAACCACAGAGGGCAGAUGCUUGGGACUGUGAACAGAGUUCGCGUCAGAGAGCCUCGAGGUAGACAGCGGCUGCUGGUGGAGAUGGAGGUGGAGAGGGCAGCGGCUGCCAGGGCCAGAGAGUAGCCAGCGACAGCAUGGGAUGAAAAUUGGAAACAAAGCGGGUCAAGUCGGGUUGAGACUUUUUUGCUGAUUGAGAUGAAAAUACCCCUCAGAUGCCAUAUGGCCCUGCAGUGCUGGUAAUAGCAUGAGUUGGUGUCUCAUUAUUAAAUUUUAUUAUUUAUUGUAACAGUGGACGACUCCAAGGAAACUGACUUCCAGACACAACAGUACUGAUAAACAAAUGAGCCCACUGUGCCAGCACCAAGGAGACCUGCACAGCUUCAACCCAGGAGUAGUUGAGCAACACAAAACAGACACCAUGGUUUUGUGUGGGUUUUUUUUGUUUUGUUUUGUUUUGUUUUGAUGAUUUUUGUCUUAUCUAUCUUCUCUUUUUUAGUUUGUCUGUUUUGAUUUUUAUGGUUUUUUUUUUCUUUAGAGAGAGGGGAAAAAGACUAGAAAGUACAUGUGUAGGGAGCUGGGGAAAACCUGAAAGGAAUUGGGAGAGGGAAAAGAAUACUAUCAAAUACAUUGUAUAACAUUUUUAAAUAAGAAUUUUAAAAAAUCCCCCCAAUACACCAAGACCUAAAGAACAUAAACAAAAUUACAUGACUAAAAUUUUUAGAUAUUAUAUAAAAUUAUCAUUUCUGAUAUAAUUGAAUGAUCAGAUUAUUUCCAGUCACAUUUAUUGGGAGCCAUCAAAGCUCAUUAUACAUGUGUAAGUAAGACCAAAUGCCAGAAUAUUUAAAUAAAAUAAUACUCAUUUUAUUAAUGUGGGAAAUAUAUGUGUCUGUGAGGUGGGCAUAUGAGCACGUGUGUGGAGAUCAGAGAGCAGCAUCAGGACUCUUCCUCUGUGUGAGACAGAGUCUUAGAACCCAGAGAUCACCAGCUUCGCUAGGCUGGUAAGCCUUCUGCAUCCCAGAAUCGGCCUCCCUAGCACUGGGGUUUGCAGCCAUUCUUGGCUUCUGUAUGGGAGCUGGGGAUCUGAACUCUGGUCCUCAUCUUGCUCACAAGUUUUCUCAGCUCUGCAACUAUGUUUUAAAAGAGAACAAAGGGGAAAAGAAAUAAGGACUUGGGAUUUCAGGUUAACUUUUUAACAUGGGGGUGUAUGUUUGGUUUGGUGCGAGAGUCUUCUAUUUGAGAGAGAAGAGGAGAAGCUGGGAGGGUUAAGGCACAACAGACACAAUCCCUUCUAAGUUCUCGAAAGUCUAGUUUAACACCCUACGUUGUGAGUCAGCCACUCGCCUUACUUGUCAACAGUGAUGAACUGGCAUAAACUCAUUUUCUUUUAGGAACUCAGAACACUGGAGCCUUUUGUGGUCACACAUGGCUUUGAAACUUAGUUUAUUCAAAGUUGUGAACAACGUCAAGAACACAUUUGGCUACUUAAUUACUAUUUUAAGGAUGGCGUGCAGAUUCAUAGAGUCAGCAUUGUGGUUUUCGGGGGGAGUAUAAAGAUUCUGCCUCUACUUUCCUUUACAGUAAAACUGUGACAAAUUAAUGAAACAAUUAUACCCGCUCUAAUUGUAUACGGUGGUUCCUGGCCUCUUUUGUUCUACACCCCACCGGCUAUUGUAUACAUAGUGAGUUUUAAGCUUAUAAAAAAUGUAGUAGAAAUUGCUGUUGUCUAAAUAGGUAAAACUAUUCCUUUAGUAGCUUGAAAUAUUA
Rattus norvegicus (Norway rat) is the source of this 4827-nucleotide non-coding RNA. The record is from RefSeq and is a predicted model, not a curated record. NCBI's taxonomy places the organism in Eukaryota, Metazoa, Chordata, Mammalia, Rodentia, Muridae.